AGUUUUUUUUGCUUUUGAAAAAAGAGUAAUUACUUAUAUACUGCUGAAAAGUUUUCAACUUUCUGAUUUAUCUCUCUUAGAAGGCUAAUAUUGAAAAUACCCUUUUUACGUUUCAAUCUAUUUCAAACAUACCCCUAGAGUUAAAUUCUGUUAAUGAACUGUUAAAAUAGUUGUUAUCUCUAUAAAAUUAUUAUUUUGCCCUUUUAAAUAUACCCUUCUACGAUCACUAACUUUUCUUAUUUGCUCUUAAGUUAGGGAUAUAAAAAGUAUUUUAAUUUUUAAUCUUUUCAAAUUACUCUUCUACCAUCGCCGACGUUUCUUAUUUGCCCUUAAGUUAAGGGCAAAAUAGGCAUUUUGAUUUUUUUUUAACUCUAGUAGAUAUUUUAACUCACGUUUAACCCAAAUUAACUUAAUAGGUGGUAAUUGCAGGGGUAUUGUGAAAUAACGGAGGAACAUAUGAAGGGUAUAUUGGACAUAAAAAAAAAGUAGGGAUUAAUGAGAUAUUUCUGAAGUUUUGAGGGGUAUAAAGGCAGUUAUUGUAGUGCUUCUGAGCUUUGGAUAGGAAUGGCUUCAGUGUUAGUGACUGGUCGACACAUCUGGAGAGUGUCGGACUGAGUCGGGGUCAUUUCUGCGCGAAAUGGAUGCAGAAAUAAACUCGACGCACUCAAAUAAGUAAAACUGGAGUUUUGCAAGAUUCGGACGCCUAGAAUUGGCUUUGGGUCG
RNAcentral lists this long non-coding RNA (723 nucleotides) under Ananas comosus (pineapple). RNAcentral's name for it is "long non-coding RNA (ACOM_LNC042007)". The record is from RNAcentral. Lineage: Eukaryota; Viridiplantae; Streptophyta; Magnoliopsida; Poales; Bromeliaceae.